This 98-nucleotide ribosomal RNA is filed under the name Burkholderia pseudomallei. Its description in RNAcentral is "partial 16S ribosomal RNA". It matches the Rfam family "Bacterial small subunit ribosomal RNA", at positions 1441 to 1533 of the family's 1533-position model. The record is from RNAcentral. Lineage: Bacteria; Pseudomonadati; Pseudomonadota; Betaproteobacteria; Burkholderiales; Burkholderiaceae.
GCAAGGAGGACGGUCACCACGGUAGGAUUCAUGACUGGGGUGAAGUCGUAACAAGGUAGCCGUAUCGGAAGGUGCGGCUGGAUCACCUCCUUUCUCGA